This 763-nucleotide ribosomal RNA is filed under the name uncultured bacterium. RNAcentral describes it as "bacterial SSU rRNA". It matches the Rfam family "Bacterial small subunit ribosomal RNA", at positions 8 to 796 of the family's 1533-position model. The record is from RNAcentral.
AGAGUUUGAUCAUGGCUCAGGAUAAACGCUGGCGGUGUGCUUUAUGCAUGCAAGUCGAACGGGCUUUAGCAAUAAAGUCAGUGGCAGACGGGUGAGUAACACGUAAGUACCUACCCUAAAGUGGGGAACAACUCCUAGAAAUGGGAGCUAAUACCGCAUGUGAUCCUUCUUUUUAAUUUGGGAGAUUAAAGCCGAAAGGCGCUUUUGGAGGGACUUGCGUCCGAUUAGAUUGUUGGUGGGGUAACGGCCUACCAAGUCUGCGAUCGGUAGCUGGUUUGAGAGGACGACCAGCCACACGGGGACUGAGACACGGCCCCGACUCCUACGGGAGGCAGCAGCAAGGAAUAUUGGGCAAUGGGCGAAAGCCUGACCCAGCGACACCGCGUGGGGGAAGGAGACCUUCGGGUUGUAAACUCCUUUUAUUGGGGAAGAAUAAUGACGGUACCCAAUGAAUAAGCCCCGGCUAACUACGUGCCAGCAGCCGCGGUAAUACGUAGGGGGCGAGCGUUAUCCGGAUUUACUGGGCGUAAAGCGGGUGUAGGCGGUCUGUCAAGUCAGAUGUGAAAUCUCCCGGCUCAACUGGGAGGGUGCAUUUGAUACUGAUGGGCUAGAGUGCAGCAGAGGAAGAUGGAAUUCCCGGUGUAGUGGUGAAAUGCGUAGAUAUCGGGAAGAACACUAGUGGCGAAGGCGGUCUUCUGGGCUGUAACUGACGCUGAGACCCGAAGGCGUGGGUAGCAAACAGGAUUAGAUACCCUAGUAGUCC